This 281-nucleotide ribosomal RNA is filed under the name uncultured bacterium. RNAcentral's name for it is "partial 16S ribosomal RNA". It matches the Rfam family "Bacterial small subunit ribosomal RNA", at positions 77 to 353 of the family's 1533-position model. The record is from RNAcentral.
AGCUUGCUUUCUUUGCUGGCGACCGGCGCACGGGUGAGUAACACGUAUCCAACCUACCCUUUACUCGGGGAUAGCCUUUCGAAGGAAAGAUUAAUACCCGAUAGCAUAAUGAUUCCGCAUGGUUUCAUUAUUAAAGGAUUCCGGUAAAGGAUGGGGAUGCGUUCCAUUAGGUUGUUGGCGGGGUAACGGCCCACCAAGCCUUCGAUGGAUAGGGGUUCUGAGAGGAAGGUCCCCCACAUUGGAACUGAGACACGGUCCAAACUCCUACGGGAGGCAGCAUG